UAAAAGACAAUGAAAAGAAGAGUACAGAUCAUUGCGAUUUUAUAGAGAGUCCCUGUUUGCUGAGAAGGGAUAAAGAGUGAUAUCUGGAAGUGCGUCUUGGAGUCGUAUCGUUGAAUUUUCUUGGAAGAUUAGAUGAUGCCGGGUAUGCCCGUUACAGCGGCGCAGUAUUACAGACAGAUGCGUCUGAGUACUGUAGUUAAGAUAGUGUAUAGUACAGCCGGAGGUUUAACAAGGUUGAAACUGUACAUUUUUUAAGGUGGAACCGUGGAAUUGAUUAUUUUGCCCUUGAA
RNAcentral lists this non-coding RNA (290 nucleotides) under Marinilactibacillus sp. RNAcentral's name for it is "T-box sequence". It matches the Rfam family "T-box leader". From Rfam's summary of the family: Uncharged tRNA acts as the effector for transcription antitermination of genes in the T-box leader family. T-boxes are found upstream of many aminoacyl-tRNA synthetase genes and some amino acid biosynthetic genes usually in Gram-positive bacteria. The anticodon of a specific tRNA base pairs to a specifier sequence within the T-box motif, and the NCCA acceptor tail of the tRNA base pairs to a conserved bulge in the T-box antiterminator hairpin. Lineage: Bacteria; Bacillati; Bacillota; Bacilli; Lactobacillales; Carnobacteriaceae. The record is from RNAcentral.